AGUGAACGCUGGCGGUAGGCCUAACACAUGCAAGUCGAACGGCAGCACAGUAAGAGCUUGCUCUUACGGGUGGCGAGUGGCGGACGGGUGAGGAAUACAUCGGAAUCUACUUUUUCGUGGGGGAUAACGUAGGGAAACUUACGCUAAUACCGCAUACGACCUACGGGUGAAAGCAGGGGAUCUUCGGACCUUGCGCGAUUGAAUGAGCCGAUGUCGGAUUAGCUAGUUGGCGGGGUAAAGGCCCACCAAGGCGACGAUCCGUAGCUGGUCUGAGAGGAUGAUCAGCCACACUGGAACUGAGACACGGUCCAGACUCCUACGGGAGGCAGCAGUGGGGAAUAUUGGACGAUGGGCGCAAGCCUGAUCCAGCCAUACCGCGUGGAUGAAGAAGGCCUUCGGGUUGUAAAGCCCUUUUGUUGGGAAAGAAAAGCAGCAGGUUAAUACCCCGCUGUUCCGACGGUACCCAAAGAAUAAGCACCGGCUAACUUCGUG
Molecule: ribosomal RNA, 492 nt
Filed under: uncultured bacterium
Lineage: Bacteria
Description: partial 16S ribosomal RNA
Rfam family: Bacterial small subunit ribosomal RNA
Source: RNAcentral